GCUCAGGUGGCCUAGUAGUGGGAGCGUCCGCCUCCGAUGCGGUAGGUCGCGGGUUCGAACCCCGUUUUAGUCG
Non-coding RNA from Potamilus streckersoni, 73 nucleotides. The record is from the annotation of a GenBank genome assembly. NCBI's taxonomy places the organism in Eukaryota, Metazoa, Mollusca, Bivalvia, Unionida, Unionidae.